AAAGGGAAAAGAAGUUUUAAAAAGAAAAGAGGAAUCCUAUCCAAACCUAACCUCUACACUAACCAUCCUAGUCGGAGGCAGCCCAACCAGACCACAUUUUCUUCCUCUAAUCAAGCCUAGCCGGCCAGUUUUUCCUUUCCUUGAUCGACAAGGGCAGUGCCCUGUUUUGCCUCUACCCCGUACAGGAGCAUGAGCAUGGCGUGAGCAAUCCCCACCUGCUCCCUUUCACUUUCCUCUCUCCCUAAUCCCCGAGCAAAACCCUAGCUUCACCUCUCCAUAUCGUUGUUGCCCCCUCUUUCCUCUGCGCCGCCGUCCCCUUCUUUCCCUCUUCCACACAGUAGAGAGCAGACUGAAAAAAAAAGCUUCAGUUUCAUCAGAGAAAAACCGCCGCGAAAUCCUCAAGCUCGCCGUCGCCUGGAGCCGCCGUUCGCUGCGCCGAGCGCGGGGAUGGAGCCGACGUGGCGCCCUCCAACUCCUCGCUGAACCGGAGCCGGAGCUGCUUGGGUACGCCGCCGCCGCCGCCAAGACGUACAUGGAGCGCCGCUGUGCACGCCGACGACCUCCGCCUCGCCCCGCCAUCGUUUCCAUCCUCCCCAACCUCUCCGUCGCUGUGCUCGUCGUUGUGUCGUCAGAGCCUCGGCAACGUCAAUCUUUGACGAUCUUUGCCUGCCUUCAUUCAAAGGGCCGAGCCCCUCUCCUCAGUCAUCGUUUGAUCUAGCGGCUGGGUGGUUACAUCUGCACCGAAGCUUUGCUUCUUCCCGGAUAGGAUCGCGAAGUGGUGUGGUGAGAUACGACGAGAUCUCCGGAUGUUCCUCGGCAAGCUUUAACAGGCAAGCAUUUCCCCUAUACUCCUGCCCCUGCAGAAGUCGCUCACCUAUUUUAUUUUGCCUUCUCCCUCAUGCUAUCCUUAAGUUGCGUUCUUGUCACGUGUCCUUUCCACUUGUUACCUCAAGCAGCCCAUAUUGCCACCACCACCUCCUACAGCUAUUGUUUGGUUAUCGGGUCUGCCUUGCGAGUCGUAGGGCAUGCUAGUGCUGUUAUAUCUCGUUACCGUUACCGCUAUCUUAUCGGUUAUCUGUUGGGAAACAUGACACAUGGUUUAUGGAUAUAUAUGUUGAGGGUAUCAUGGUUACUUGUUAAUAGUUGUUAGCGGAGGCAUCGGUGGGUCAGCUGAUCGUUUUGUGACGGCUCACUUGUGUUUCUAUAAACCUAGGACCCCGAGUUCUUGUUAUCUGUUCCGAGACUGAGCGCUCUAACCACACGUGGGUAUGUUUCUGGGUCUCCCCUCGACCACUGCCGGAAUCUACAGCUUUGUCCAGUGGCCACAACUAGUUUGCAAUGUUUUACCAUUUGAUGUUGCGUGCAUGCCAGCCUGUUACUUAUUUAUUUUUGGGAAGCCCUAGGGUGCCUUGUAUCCCUUGUUUCUGGUAUGCACGUAUAGGUCGCGGAGCCGCUGCGAAGUGGUUUAUCGCCCCAGUGUGUGUUUAAACCACCUAGUACGCUGUCGCAAACAGCUAGGUCCGCUUCGGAGAUACGGUCGGACUUCGAUUCGGGUUUAACUUAGUUAGGUGGCUUCCUGGACAUUGUUGUCGUGAAGGAGAGUGCGAGUCGUUAUAUCCACCUGUCGCAAGUGGGUUGAUCGUGCGUGUGGGCACAUUUGGGCACCCCUGCAGGGUAAAAUCUUAUCGAUAAGCCGCGUCCGCGGUUAUGGACGACUUGGAGCUGUAUGACUCGACCAUAGACAACUUACACCUGCUGUUUCUAUCAUAAUAACUUGUGUAGUAAGUUAGCACAACUUUAAUAAUAAAUGGUUAAAACUUGCCAACCGUGUGAGUGCCUUUGUAAGUACUUCCUUGCGAGGGGGGAACACCUCGGCUGUGUUAUGUUUGCAGAGUAUAGAACUACUAGUUUAUGCGCUCUCUCACCUUCUCUGAUAGACGACUGUUGUGGAGUGUCUCUAUAGGUUUUUAGUGCUUGCGCGCUGCCGCUUAACCCCACCAUAUUGCCUAUGACGUUCCUCUUGCGUCCUCUAAGUCCCCUGCAUGCCUCAAGUACAAAGGAUGACUGGUUGACGAAUGCUUAUACGUCUUGAAGUCUUGUUAAGUACGAACCCGUACUUAUUGCUGCUUCUACGGGAUAUAACCGGGCAGGUAUGAAGAUAUGUUCGAUGAAGACGACGCUAGCAAGGUUACCCUUCCGGCUUGGCCUGGGCAGGGUUAUGGACGCCAUUGGUUAUCUUCAGGACUCUUAGUCCAAAUUUGUAUCUUGUCCGUACUCGGAUGUAUUUGAUCUUCUGUAAGAUUCGGAUCUUUGUAUUGUAUCUAUUUGUAUCUUGACUCGUUGGAGUCGUUCUUGUAAUAUAUGUUUCUUGUGGGUUC
This is a non-coding RNA of Lolium perenne, 2378 nucleotides long. NCBI's taxonomy places the organism in Eukaryota, Viridiplantae, Streptophyta, Magnoliopsida, Poales, Poaceae. The record is from RefSeq and is a predicted model, not a curated record.